GUGAACUUAUAAAAGAGACCCCAGAGAGCUCCCUCACCUUUUCAUCCAGUGAGGACACAGGGAGAAGAUGGUCAUUAGCGACCAGGAAGAGGGUCCCCCCACCAGAACCCCAUGCUGGCACCUGAUCUCGACUUCCGGCCUCCAGAAAUCUUUGAGAAGCAGAUAGGCUUGAAUGAGCAUGGAAUGUAUCUAUUUAAAAAGCAGCUGGAAGUCUGUCAAGUGCAUUCUGGAAAUGGAUUCAGGCUAACAGAGUGUUCUGAAUAGAGACGCCUAAAACAAGAGCCAAAGACAUAGCAAUGGAGAACGUGGGUGGUACAGCCCUCCACCCUGGCGAGCAGCACAUUAGAAUCACGUAGGAGCUUAAAAAGUACUGACUGGCCUGGUCUUUUUCGGUGUGAAGGUGGGAUGCAGGCUUCCUGGGGUUAUCCUCUCGUACAGCCAGAGUUGAGAACCAUCUGAGUAGCGCUUGUCACACUUCUGGCCACAUCAGAAUCGUCUGAGGGACUUGUUCACUGCAGGUUGCUGGGUCCCAUCUCUAGCCUCUGAUCCAGUAGCCUGGGGUGGGGCACAGGAUGUCCUGCUGCUGGGGUCUGGGCAGCGCUAUGAGAACUGCUGACGUUGGAGCUCGAUCAGGUGGUCCCUCACUCCCUGACCCAGGGCAUUUGCUGCUUCCUGUCUCUGCCAUUCUUUUCUCAACCUGGGGCACUUGCUUUUCUCGCUAUGCUGCCCUGCCCUUUGCUGAGGCCUGGGCUAUCCCUGGCAGGGUGCAGAAAAAAAAUUUUUAAGUUACUUUUCUCAGCCCAAAGGAGACUGGAAUGCUUCACAAGGGAUUCUACUUGACAGGCAAUUGGACCACCCAAAUGGCAAACUAAAAGCAUAGAAGCGGACACCAGAGGCUCCUGGACCUGAGAUGUGGCCCUGGAAGUGACCAGAUGUGGUCUCAAGAGAUGGGGGCCCAGGGCUAGGAAUGCCGCCAUCCGGGGAGGCCCUAGAGCAGAGCAGAGCAGCUGUGGGCUGGUGCCAAGCUCACUCCUGCUUCUCUCUGCACGUCUCCCUCAUUCUUUUCUCUCUGAACUGUGACCCUUUUGGCCCCUCUGAGUACCAGGUGGGACAAGGUGACCCCUCAGCACUUGAGUUUACACCUUAGAUGUGUAGGUCCUCACAGAGGCCAACUUAUCUCCUUCUGGGACCAAAUUCCAAAUUCCUAAAGAAAAAACAAACCAAAAACGGAUAUGAUAAACCUAUCUCAGUGGUCAGCCCCUGGGGCGCAAACAUUCCCCUGAGUCAGGGAAGGGUGACUGUAACACAGGUAUCAUUAUGAUUUAGGUGUGGCAAGACUAGCAGGUCAGGGGUGCCUGCCAUUGAAAAGACUGUCAUACAGUUCCCAGGUGGAAGGGGUGUGCCAGGAGGGGCAGCCAGAAGGCAGAUGGAGGGAAGCUGCCUUUAUGGUGUUUCUGCUGGGAGGCACAGGUGCGGUGGAGGAAGCAGGCUUAGGAUUGGUUCGUGUGAAUGUCUUCAGUGGGCUCUGGUUAUCUGGUACCUGGCCCGGGGUGAUGAGGGUAGAUAGAGGCCCAGAAGGUGAGAGCCUAAUACCCAGAGCGGUCGGGGGGGUGGGUAGGCUCAGGGCUGGUUGGUUUGGGAAGCAUGUUUGUGGGCCCGUUGGUUACCGUCUCAAGGAAUGGGCUAGGCCUGGGUGUGGCUGUCCUUCUAGGAUCAGCAAGGCAGCAAAUAUCAAAGCACCAGAAUACACAAAGUAAAAGACUGCAUUAAUACAGGGUAGUUUACAAAGAAAUGGGAAAUUGUUGGUUCUGAGCUGGGUGGGGAUUGAAACGGUGUUCCCUGCAGAUCCAUUUAAAGUCUCUCUGUAAAUACGCGUUGGUGUGUAACUGUUCCUUGUCUCUAACCUCAGCCAGCCCCUCCCAUGCCAGGUGAGGGGUCUUCCCACCUCCCUUUUCCUCUCUGGGUGUCCCUCCAUUAUGAUCUGGGGACCAAGGCUGGCUGUAGCAGUGUGCCUCCAUGGCCUAGGGCGGUUGGCAAAUGCAAUUUCUUCGGCAGUGCUGGAUAAAGUGGGAUGAUGCAGUGACCACACAGAAUGUCAUUUCUGAUGAAAGCUGGCAUGCCAGCCCGUGACAGGACACAGAGGAGCGUGGAUUCCCCUUCAUGGUUGACUUCAGCCAAGGCCAUCAUCCCCGCUGCCAAAGCCUGCCCUGAUUGCCUGCCCUGGGGGAGAGAAGUGUUUUGAAGAUGACAAAUCAAAGUCAGGUCCUGCAUGGAGUUUGCGUGCCUGACAGCCUGGCUAGCACAGGAGGACAUGCAGGUGGAAUUUGUGCAAGCCUGUUAUUUUCUGUAACACAAUACACACUGAGAAGGCAAUGGGUACCUUGGACCCUGCAGGCCAAUUCAAGCACCAUCACUACUUUUCAGAAGUGUGGGGCAUAGAUGUCAACUGAGCCUAGCAAGAUGUCCUAUGUUACCAAGAGACUAUUAGAAAGCAGAGCAGGUCUCAAGAUUCAAUGAAACAAUUGCCUGGAAGCUGGAAGAUAAUAUGGAAGCUAGGGAUAUAAUAGAGUAUGUUGCUGGGAACGGUGGCUCCUGCCUGUAAUCGCAGCACUUUGGGAGGCUGAGGUAGGGGGGAUCACUUGAGCCCAGGAGUUGGAGGCCAGCCUGGGCAACACAGCAAGACCCCAUUUCUAUAAAUAAUUAAAAAAAAAAUUAGCUGGGUGUUGUGGUGCAUGCCUGUAUUCUUAACUACUCCAGAGGCUGAGGUGGGAGGAUGGCUUGAGUCCAGAAGUUCAAGGUUACAGUGAACUACGAUUGAGCCACACUGCAUUCCAGCUGGGUAACAGAGGGAGACUCUGUCUCUAAAAAAAAAAAUUAAAAAAAAAGUAGGGUGGGUGGUUGAGGGUUGUGCAGUGUGAGUGAGGGUGGCCAGAAAAACCAUUUCCGUGACAGUUACAAAGGCUGUGUGUGGAUGGUGACGCUGAGGUUUUAUCUUCAAGUGAGUUGUGCAUAUGAGGUUUGUUUGAUUCUAAAGCAUUUAUUUUCUAAAUGCAAACUUUUAGAAUAAAGUCUAGUUCCUGUUGCUCUAUUUUGGCAUAGGUUUUUAAUGUUUCAUAUACUUAGAACUUCAAAAUGGUGGUGGUUGGGGUCUGUCUUCUUACCUGCUGGAGGCCCUGCCAGGUGCUAGCCAGAAGCAGUCAUUAUUGCUUAGGCAGUCGUUGUGGGAGGCUGGGUGUGGCUCUCGCGGAGCCAGAAUGAAGGAUAGCAACUCAUUAACACACACACACCCACCCCUAAACACACACGUGCACCUACACACAGCUGGGAGUCCUAAGGAAGAGACCACACCUUUUUUGUUUUUUGCUUUUUUACCACCUUCAUUAUGAGUCUAAAGUCAAUUCAAUUAACCAGCUAUUUGAAAUUUUUACAUCUAACAGGAGCUGAGAAGAUCCAGUGGGUUAUUGGCUGGUGGGACUGAACUGACCUUCAUAUCUCAGCGAUGAGUCCUGUAGACUGCAGGCUCCACGGCAGUUGCAGCUCCCAGGGCUUCAGAUUGGAGCUGCCUGUGACAUGCAGAGGUGGAAGCACAGCCUCAGCUGUGGUGGACGGCAGCCUCUUUCAGCCCCCAGGUGCAUAACAAAGGCUGUCUUGAUUGUAUCUGUGAGAGUGCCAUGAUUUGGGGUUUUCUCUGUCGGUUUGGACCAGAUCAGAAAGCAAUUGGGACUAUUGUGUCUCUCAUGGAAACCCAAGGUGGGAGAAAGAAGCAGAAGGAGAUCCUGGAACCAAAAACACUUCAGCAAUGAAGACUGGAUUUUCUCUGAAAUGAACAACAAAAUAAAAUCUCUCCUGUAGAUCUCUAAAGC
This 3863-nucleotide long non-coding RNA is filed under the name Homo sapiens (human). RNAcentral's name for it is "HSALNT0036622". The record is from RNAcentral. Lineage: Eukaryota; Metazoa; Chordata; Mammalia; Primates; Hominidae.